RNAcentral lists this ribosomal RNA (727 nucleotides) under uncultured bacterium. RNAcentral's name for it is "bacterial SSU rRNA". It matches the Rfam family "Bacterial small subunit ribosomal RNA", at positions 8 to 724 of the family's 1533-position model. The record is from RNAcentral.
AGAGUUUGAUCCUGGCUCAGAUUGAACGCUGGCGGCAGGCCUAACACAUGCAAGUCGAACGGUAGCACAGAGGAGCUUGCUCCUUGGGUGACGAGUGGCGGACGGGUGAGUAAUGUCUGGGAAACUGCCCGAUGGAGGGGGAUAACUACUGGAAACGGUAGCUAAUACCGCAUAACGUCGCAAGACCAAAGAGGGGGACCUUCGGGCCUCUUGCCAUCGGAUGUGCCCAGAUGGGAUUAGCUAGUAGGUGGGGUAACGGCUCACCUAGGCGACGAUCCCUAGCUGGUCUGAGAGGAUGACCAGCCACACUGGAACUGAGACACGGUCCAGACUCCUACGGGAGGCAGCAGUGGGGAAUAUUGCACAAUGGGGGAAACCCUGAUGCAGCCAUGCCGCGUGUGUGAAGAAGGCCUUCGGGUUGUAAAGUACUUUCAGCGGGGAGGAAGGUGUUGUGGUUAAUAACCGCAGCAAUUGACGUUACCCGCAGAAGAAGCACCGGCUAACUCCGUGCCAGCAGCCGCGGUAAUACGGAGGGUGCAAGCGUUAAUCGGAAUUACUGGGCGUAAAGCGCACGCAGGCGGUUGGAUAAGUUAGAUGUGAAAGCCCCGGGCUCAACCUGGGAAUUGCAUUUAAAACUGUCCAGCUAGAGUCUUGUAGAGGGGGGUAGAAUUCCAGGUGUAGCGGUGAAAUGCGUAGAGAUCUGGAGGAAUACCGGUGGCGAAGGCGG